Molecule: ribosomal RNA, 467 nt
Filed under: uncultured bacterium
Lineage: Bacteria
Description: partial 16S ribosomal RNA
Rfam family: Bacterial small subunit ribosomal RNA
Source: RNAcentral
ACGAACGCUGGCGGCGUGCUUCACCCCUGCCAGUCGAACGGAAAGGCCCUGCUUUUGUGGGGUGCUCGAGUGGCGAACGGGUGAGUAACACGUGAGUAACCUGCCCUUGACUUUGGGAUAACUUCAGGAAACUGGGGCUAAUACCGGAUAGGAGCUCCUGCUGCAUGGCGGGGGUUGGAAAGUUUCGGCGGUUGGGGAUGGACUCGCGGCUUAUCAGCUUGUUGGUGGGGUAGUGGCUUACCAAGGCUUUGACGGGUAGCCGGCCUGAGAGGGUGACCGGCCACAUUGGGACUGAGAUACGGCCCAGACUCCUACGGGAGGCAGCAGUGGGGAAUAUUGCACAAUGGGCGGAAGCCUGAUGCAGCAACGCCGCGUGCGGGAUGACGGCCUUCGGGUUGUAAACCGCUUUCGCCUGUGACGAAGCGUGAGUGACGGUAAUGGGUAAAGAAGCACCGGCUAACUACGUG